AAAGCUAGGGGAGCAAACGGGAUUAGAUACCCCGGUAGUCCUAGCUCUAAACGAUGGGCACUAGCUAGGGGGGAUACCUAUUGUCCUCUCUGGCGAAGCAAAUGUGAUAAGUGCCCCGCCUGGGGAGUACGUCGCAAGGCUAAAACUCAAAGGAAUUGACGGGGGCUCACACAAGCGGUGGAGCAUGUUGUUCAAUUCGAUGCAACGCGAAGAACCUUACCCAGGCCUGAAUGCAGGGAUUAAGCCGUGAAAGCGGCGGAUUGCCUUCGGGUGUAACCUGCACUGGUGUUGCAUGGCUGUCGUCAGCUCGUGUCGUGAGAUGUUGGGUUAAGUCCCGUAACGAGCGAAACCCCUAUUGCUAGUUACCAACGGGUAACGCCGGGGACUCUAGCGAGACUGCCGUUGUCAAGACGGAGGAGGGUGGGGACGACGUCAAGUCAUCAUGGCCUGUAUGCCUGGGGCCACAAACGUGCUACAAUGGCUGGGACAAAGGGUCGCCAAACCGCAAGGUGGAGCAAAUCCCAAAAACCCAGCCCCAGUUCGGAUUGCAGGCUGCAACUCGCCUGCAUGAAGUUGGAAUCGCUAGUAAUCGCGGAUCAGCUACGCCGCGGUGAAUAUGUUCCUGAGCCUUGUACACACCGCCCGUCAAGCCACGAAAGCUGGGAGCGCCCGAAGUCGCUAGUCCAACCGCAAGGGGGACGGCGCCGAAGGCGAGCUCGGUGAUUGGGACUAAGUCGUAACAAGGUAACC
RNAcentral lists this ribosomal RNA (750 nucleotides) under uncultured bacterium. RNAcentral describes it as "bacterial SSU rRNA". It matches the Rfam family "Bacterial small subunit ribosomal RNA", at positions 756 to 1501 of the family's 1533-position model. The record is from RNAcentral.